This 820-nucleotide long non-coding RNA is filed under the name Hordeum vulgare. RNAcentral describes it as "long non-coding RNA (HVUL_LNC006049)". Lineage: Eukaryota; Viridiplantae; Streptophyta; Magnoliopsida; Poales; Poaceae. The record is from RNAcentral.
UUGGCGCACUUGGCCCGCAGCCUCCUGGCGAAUAGCGGGUCGAUGAGCGGGUUGAGGUCGAUGUUGGGAGCGAAGCGGUCGGAGAAGACGGGGCAGUGGGCGACGCCGAAGGUGUGCGCGCCGGAGAGCGAGACGAGGUCGGCCACGUCGAGGCUCCGGUUGCCGAAGGAGGAGAUGAGAGUCGGCACGUCGAAGGAGGGCGCCGGCAGGGUGUCCACGAGGUCCUGGGACGCCGGGGCGAGCCCGUCGCGGCGGCCGAGGGCGACGUCGAAGUGUGGCCCGCCAGCCUGCAUCCACCACGUACGUACUCGUUGAUUAAUCGGUUCUGCUCAGGUUGAAAAUAUCGUCUGACAUAUGUACGCUUGUGUGGAGCAUAUGGCCGGCAGGCAUGAAGUGGAGUGUACCUGUACGAGGGCGUCACGGGUGGCGAGGACGGUGAUGUCGGCGCAGGAGACGGUCGGGCCGCAGGCGGCAUGGACGGCGGCGCGGAUGCGCUCGAUGAGGUCGAGAGCAACGGGGCGGAGCGUCUGGUUGGGCACCGCAUUCAGCUCGCUGUUGUUCCCGGUGAGGAGCACCGACGCGUCGCAGCCCUGCGGGAAGCAGUCGUGGAAGAGGAUGCGGAUGAGGGCGGGGGCGACGCCGACGUCGCGCCGGAAGGUCUCCGCCACGAGGUCCCCCACGAUCUUCUCCAGGCCCGGGCACGACGCGGCGUGGAAGCCCCGGGACAGCCCGCCGGCGUCCGCGGCCGAGAUGGUCGACUGGGCGGCGCAGAUCAAGGCUGCCAGGACGAGGACGGUCGCUGUUGCUCUGGACGCCAUUG